This 468-nucleotide ribosomal RNA is filed under the name uncultured bacterium. Its description in RNAcentral is "partial 16S ribosomal RNA". It matches the Rfam family "Bacterial small subunit ribosomal RNA", at positions 28 to 507 of the family's 1533-position model. The record is from RNAcentral.
GACGAACGCUGGUGGCGUGCUUAACACAUGCAAGUCGAACGGAAAGGCCCUGCUUUUGUGGGGUGCUCGAGUGGCGAACGGGUGAGUAACACGUGAGUAACCUGCCCUUGACUUUGGGAUAACUUCAGGAAACUGGGGCUAAUACCGGAUAGGAGCUCCUGCUGCAUGGUGGGGGUUGGAAAGUUUCGGCGGUUGGGGAUGGACUCGCGGCUUAUCAGCUUGUUGGUGGGGUAGUGGCUUACCAAGGCUUUGACGGGUAGCCGGCCUGAGAGGGUGACCGGCCACAUUGGGACUGAGGUACGGCCCAGACUCCUACGGGAGGCAGCAGUGGGGAAUAUUGCACAGUGGGCGGGAGCCUGAUGCAGCAACGCCGCGUGCGGGAUGACGGCCUUCGGGUUGUAAACCGCUUUCGCCUGUGACGAAGCGUGAGUGACGGUAAUGGGUAAAGAAGCACCGGCUAACUACGUG